RNAcentral lists this ribosomal RNA (492 nucleotides) under uncultured bacterium. Its description in RNAcentral is "partial 16S ribosomal RNA". It matches the Rfam family "Bacterial small subunit ribosomal RNA", at positions 29 to 507 of the family's 1533-position model. The record is from RNAcentral.
AGUGAACGCUGGCGGUAGGCCUAACACAUGCAAGUCGAACGGCAGCACAGUAAGAGCUUGCUCUUACGGGUGGCGAGUGGCGGACGGGUGAGGAAUACAUCGGAAUCUACUUUUUCGUGGGGGAUAACGUAGGGAAACUUACGCUAAUACCGCAUACGACCUACGGGUGAAAGCAGGGGAUCUUCGGACCUUGCGCGAUUGAAUGAGCCGAUGUCGGAUUAGCUAGUUGGCGGGGUAAAGGCCCACCAAGGCGACGAUCCGUAGCUGGUCUGAGAGGAUGAUCAGCCACACUGGAACUGAGACACGGUACAGACUCCUACGGGAGGCAGCAGUGGGGAAUAUUGGACAAUGGGCGCAAGCCCGAUCCAGCCAUACCGCGUGGGUGAAGAAGGCCUUCGGGUUGUAAAGCCCUUUUGUUGGGAAAGAAAAGCAGCAGGUUAAUACCCCGCUGUUCUGACGGUACCCAAAGAAUAAGCACCGGCUAACUUCGUG